Molecule: ribosomal RNA, 400 nt
Filed under: phytoplankton environmental sample
Lineage: Eukaryota
Description: partial small subunit ribosomal RNA
Rfam family: Eukaryotic small subunit ribosomal RNA
Source: RNAcentral
AGCUCCAGUAGCGUAUACUAAAGUUGUUGCAGUUAAAAAGCUCGUAGUUGGAUUUCUGGUGCCGAUGCAGCCGGUCCGCUCGCGUAAGCGAGUCGAGUACCAGUCGCGUCCACCAUCCUUCCGGAGAGUCGCGUCUGCCUUUAACUGGGUUGGGCGCGCGAUCCGGAUCGUUUACUUUGAAAAAAUUAGAGUGUUCAAAGCAGGCUCGCGCCUUGAAUACAUUAGCAUGGAAUAAUAAGAUAGGACUUGGGUUCUAUUUUGUUGGUUUCUAGAACCGAAGUAAUGAUUGAUAGGGAUAGUUGGGGGUGCUAGUAUUCAACGGCCAGAGGUGAAAUUCUUGGAUUCGUUGAAGACUAACUAGUGCGAAAGCAUUCACCAAGGAUGUCUUCUUUAAUCAAGA